Molecule: ribosomal RNA, 253 nt
Filed under: uncultured bacterium
Lineage: Bacteria
Description: partial 16S ribosomal RNA
Rfam family: Bacterial small subunit ribosomal RNA
Source: RNAcentral
UACGUAGGGGGCAAGCGUUGUCCGGAAUCAUUGGGCGUAAAGAGCGUGUAGGCGGCCCGAUAAGUCCGCCGUGAAAGUCCAGGGCUCAACCCUGGGAUGCCGGUGGAAACUGUCGGGCUAGAGUCCGGAAGAGGCGAGUGGAAUUCCUGGUGUAGCGGUGAAAUGCGCAGAUAUCAGGAGGAACACCAAUGGCGAAGGCAGCUCGCUGGGACGGUACUGACGCUGAGACGCGAAAGCGUGAGGAGCAAACAGG